GACGAACGCUGGCGGCGUGCUUAACACAUGCAAGUCGAACGGAAAGGCCCUGCUUUUGUGGGGUGCUCGAGUGGCGAACGGGUGCGUAACACGUGAGUAACCUGCCCUUGACUUUGGGAUAACUUCAGGAAACUGGGGCUAAUACCGGAUAGGAGCUCCUGCUGCAUGGUGGGGGUUGGAAAGUUUCGGCGGUUGGGGAUGGACUCGCGGCUUAUCAGCUUGUUGGUGGGGUAGUGGCUUACCCAGGCUUUGACGGGUAGCCGGCCUGAGAGGGUGAACGGCGACAUGGCGACUGAGAUAGGGCCCAGACGCCUACGGGAGGCAGCAGUGGGGAGUAUUGCACAAUGGGCGGAAGCCUGAUGCAGCAACGCCGCGUGCGGGAUGACGGCCUUCGGGUUGUAAACAGCUUUCGCCUGUGACGAAGCGGUAGUGACGGUAAUGGGUAAAGAAGCACCGGCUAACUACGUG
Molecule: ribosomal RNA, 468 nt
Filed under: uncultured bacterium
Lineage: Bacteria
Description: partial 16S ribosomal RNA
Rfam family: Bacterial small subunit ribosomal RNA
Source: RNAcentral